CCCUCCGGUAUUCCGGGGGGCAUGCCUGUUCGAGCGUCAUUACAACCCUCAAGCUCUGCUUGGUGUUGAGCCCGCCCCGGCCUGCCCGGGGCUCGCUUCAAAGUCAGUGGCGGCCGCCGUCCGACCUUCAGCGCAGUAAUGCUCGCCGCUGUUAGGGAAGGGUAGCAAGGGCCGUCAUACAACCCCCACACACAAGGUUGACCUCGGAUCAGGUAGGGAUACCCGCUGAACUUAAGCAUAUCAAUAAGCGGAGGAAAAGAAACCAACAGGGAUUGCCUCAGUAACGGCGAGUGAAGCGGCAACAGCUCAAAUUUGAAAGCUGGCUCCUUCGGGGCCCGCGUUGUAAUUUGUAGAGGAUGCUUCGGGCGCGGCACCGGUCUAAGUUCUCUGGAACGAGACGUCAUAGAGGGUGAGAAUCCCGUAUGUGACUGGCUGCCUGUGCCCAUGUGAAGCUCCUUCGACGAGUCGAGUUGUUUGGGAAUGCAGCUCAAAAUGGGAGGUGUACUCCUUCUAAAGCUAAAUAUUGGCCAGAGACCGAUAGCGCACAAGUAGAGUGAUCGAAAGAUGAAAAGCACUUUGGAAAGAGAGUUAAACAGUACGUGAAAUUGUUGAAAGGGAAGCGCUUGCAAUCAGACUUGCGCGGCGUCGAUCAGCCUGGGUUCUCCCUGGUGCACUCGGCGCCGCUCAGGCCAGCAUCAGUUUCGGAGGUGGGAUAAAGGCCUAGGGAACGUGGGUCCCCUCGGGG
This 745-nucleotide ribosomal RNA is filed under the name Leotiomycetes sp. genotype 215. Its description in RNAcentral is "eukaryotic LSU rRNA". The stretch from base 199 to 745 matches the Rfam family "Eukaryotic large subunit ribosomal RNA", at positions 1 to 551 of the family's 3401-position model. The record is from RNAcentral. Lineage: Eukaryota; Fungi; Ascomycota; Leotiomycetes.